UACGAGGGGGGCGAGCGUUGUUCGGAAUUAUUGGGCGUAAAGCGCGCGCAGGCGGUCCUUUAAGUCCGCUGUGAAAGUCGGGGGCUCAACCCUCGGAUGCCGGUGGAUACUGUCGGGCUUGAGUACGGAAGAGGCGAGUGGAAUUCCUGGUGUAGCGGUGAAAUGCGCAGAUAUCAGGAGGAACACCAAUUGCGAAGGCAGCUCGCUGGGACGUUACUGACGCUGAGACGCGAAAGCGUGGGGAGCAAACAGG
This 253-nucleotide ribosomal RNA is filed under the name uncultured bacterium. RNAcentral describes it as "partial 16S ribosomal RNA". It matches the Rfam family "Bacterial small subunit ribosomal RNA", at positions 524 to 776 of the family's 1533-position model. The record is from RNAcentral.